AUGUGUUGGCUGCCUGAAUCUGAUGAUUCUAUGUCUGUCUUUGUCCAUGGACAAAAUCUGAACAUCACGCAGUGUCCUUCUCGGUCCCUUCAUCUCCUCCGCCACGCCGUCUUGAGCUCGGACACCGUCUACGAAAAAGCCCCCCUCCCGCCCAACAUGUCAACUCUCUACCGCUCCCACACUAAUGUCGGCCCCCGCUGCUGCUGCCUCGCGCGGGACGCCGCGGCCGGCCAUGUCAUCCCGUCCCCUCUGUGCCGCUCCUCCCCUACUUCUUCAGUUCUUUUAUCAAAAUCGACUUAA
Molecule: ribosomal RNA, 300 nt
Filed under: Triticum aestivum (bread wheat)
Lineage: Eukaryota; Viridiplantae; Streptophyta; Magnoliopsida; Poales; Poaceae
Description: partial small subunit ribosomal RNA
Source: RNAcentral